UGCCAGCCGCCGCGGUAAUACAGAGGGUGCAAGCGUUAAUCGGAAUUACUGGGCGUAAAGCGAGCGUAGGUGGCUUAAUAAGUCAGAUGUGAAAGCCCCGGGCUUAACCUGGGAACGGCAUCUGAUACUGUUAGGCUAGAGUAGGUGAGAGGAAGGUAGAAUUCCAGGUGUAGCGGUGAAAUGCGUAGAGAUCUGGAGGAAUACCGAUGGCGAAGGCAGCCUUCUGGCAUCAUACUGACACUGAGGUUCGAAAGCGUGGGUAGCAAACAGGAUUAGAUA
Molecule: ribosomal RNA, 279 nt
Filed under: uncultured bacterium
Lineage: Bacteria
Description: partial 16S ribosomal RNA
Rfam family: Bacterial small subunit ribosomal RNA
Source: RNAcentral